Molecule: long non-coding RNA, 1505 nt
Organism: Drosophila mojavensis
Lineage: Eukaryota; Metazoa; Arthropoda; Insecta; Diptera; Drosophilidae
Exons: 2
Source: RefSeq, a predicted model, not a curated record
UUCUUUCAUUCUAUCGUUCCCCGGUUCCCGGCAUCCCCCUGCGAACCAGUUUUGAUACCAGUUCUGGUUCUCUAAGCCGGCAAAUGCAGCAGCGAAGCAAGAGCAGCUGCCCCCUGAUUUUUGAGCGAACACAUGGCACGGCAGCUGAUAGUCCGACCGGCCCGGCCGCCUUGUCUUUCUCUUUUUCUUGCUCACUCUCAGUCUCUUUGUAACUGAGUCAGCGUGGUGGAGGUGCCGCCACAUAAAGCAAAAAUUUUGCCAUUGUUUCUAGUGUAUUGCCAUGUACAUGUGCGUGCGAGUGUUUGUUUGCUUUGCUUCCUUAUGCACUGAGACCUACAAGUAUGUAUGUAUGUAUGUAUUUAUAUCGUCACACACACACAUACACGUGGGCAUAAACCAUACGUACGUAAGUAUACAUAUGUAUGCACGUAUAUAUUUGGGCAUAUGUAUGUAUAUGUAUAUUUAUACAUACACAUACAUAUGUAUGUAUGUGCUGCUUCUUUAAACAAAGUACAGUCGUCGCACUGCGCUGCUAAUGGUGAAAACUUGCAAGCGACACACACACUCGCAUGAAUAAGUCUGUAUGCAUGUAUAGUGACGGUGAGCUGGCUUAUGGCGAAGGGCUGUUGGGGAGAGGGCAAAACUUCAACUUGACUGCGUGGUCUUCGCUGCUGCACUUGGCAACAAGUUACACCCGGCUGGCUGCAUGCGCACCGCGUUCAACCGUUUUGUCUGCGCUCUCUCGCUGCUGAUUGAGGGUCAAGGUCAGCGAGCAUUCGCAUCAGCUGCUGCGCAUGUGCAGCUCUUGCAACGAGCUUCAUGUGAAAUUGAACAAAGCUGCUGAUGGGCGCUCUCCAAACUGCAGACUGGAUUUAUAUGCACUGUACUUGUGCACGAUUCGUUGGUAAAGUUACGAUUGGAAGAGACUGGAACCGAAACUGGAAUUCAAUCACAAAAUGAGUGCAUAAAUACAGAUUGAUGAAUGUAUGUAUGUGUGUACAGUAUUUUAGUAUAUGUAUGUGAUUUAUUUCAAUUUUACGAAUGUAAGUAUUAACAGGCUUUUAAUCAAAUCGACCUUUUUUAGACAUCUAUAAAAUUAUUAUUAAUUAUUUAGCAAUUUUUCAUAGAAGACCAACUUCGUACAAUCCUUAAAAGGUCGGACGUGUAUGUAUGUACAUACAGUGGGCCAAAAAAGUAUUGGCACACUUGAAAAAUCGAACUUCUAAGAGCUGCAACUUUUUUUUGAACACAGCUAUAUAUAAAUUAAAAACGGCAUUUAUUAAAUCCAUGUUUUCUAAUAAUAUUUAACAAAAAAAAUUAAAUUUCUUGUUUGGUUCACUUGCACAGAACUAAAAUAUAAAUAUAGGCACAAAUUUUCGUAAAAAAAAGUAUUGGCACACACUAUGUUCUAGCUUACGCUUUCGUUGCUACAACCGUAAACUACCGUUAUUUUUCAUUCCUUCUUUUACACAUCGCUUCAUUUUGGUUCUUGCACGUGUUUGCAA